GAUGGAGCACGCCGCGUGAGUGAAGAAGGCUUUCGGGUCGUAAAACUCUGUUGUUGGAGAAGAAUGGUCGGCAGAGUAACUGUUGUCGGCGUGACGGUAUCCAACCAGAAAGCCACGGCUAACUACGUGCCAGCAGCCGCGGUAAUACGUAGGUGGCAAGCGUUAUCCGGAUUUAUUGGGCGUAAAGCGAGCGCAGGCGGUUUUUUAAGUCUGAUGUGAAAGCCCUCGGCUUAACCGAGGAAGCGCAUCGGAAACUGGGAAACUUGAGUGCAGAAGAGGACAGUGGAACUCCAUGUGUAGCGGUGAAAUGCGUAGAUAUAUGGAAGAACACCAGUGGCGAAGGCGGCUGUCUGGUCUGUAACUGACGCUGAGGCUCGAAAGCAUGGGUAGCGAACAGGAUUAGAUACCCUGGUAGUCCAUGCCGUAAACGAUGAAUGCUAGGUGUUGGAGGGUUUCCGCCCUUCAGUGCCGCAGCUAACGCAUUAAGCAUUCCGCCUGGGGAGUACGACCGCAAGGUUGAAACUCAAAGGAAUUGACGGGGGCCCGCACAAGCGGUGGAGCAUGUGGUUUAAUUCGAAGCAACGCGAAGAACCUUACCAGGUCUUGACAUCUUUUGAUCACCUGAGAGAUCAGGUUUCCCCUUCGGGGGCAAAAUGACAGGUGGUGCAUGGUUGUCGUCAGCUCGUGUCGUGAGAUGUUGGGUUAAGUCCCGCAACGAGCGCAACCCUUAUGACUAGUUGCCAGCAUUUAGUUGGGCACUCUAGUAAGACUGCCGGUGACAAACCGGAGGAAGGUGGGGAUGACGUCAAAUCAUCAUGCCCCUUAUGACCUGGGCUACACACGUGCUACAAUGGAUGGUACAACGAGUUGCGAGACCGCGAGGUCAAGCUAAUCUCUUAAAGCCAUUCUCAGUUCGGACUGUAGGC
This 926-nucleotide ribosomal RNA is filed under the name Lacticaseibacillus paracasei. RNAcentral describes it as "bacterial SSU rRNA". It matches the Rfam family "Bacterial small subunit ribosomal RNA", at positions 385 to 1305 of the family's 1533-position model. Lineage: Bacteria; Bacillati; Bacillota; Bacilli; Lactobacillales; Lactobacillaceae. The record is from RNAcentral.